GGGCCCGUAGCUCAGCCCGGCAGAGCGCUCGGCUCAUAACCGAGUGGUCGUGGGUUCAAAUCCCACCGGGCCCA
Molecule: transfer RNA, 74 nt
Filed under: Candidatus Bathyarchaeota archaeon
Lineage: Archaea; Thermoproteati; Candidatus Bathyarchaeota
Also listed under: 3 other names
Description: tRNA-Met
Rfam family: tRNA
About the family: Transfer RNA (tRNA) molecules are approximately 80 nucleotides in length. Their secondary structure includes four short double-helical elements and three loops (D, anti-codon, and T loops).
Source: RNAcentral